Molecule: small nuclear RNA, 159 nt
Organism: Cyprinus carpio carpio
Lineage: Eukaryota; Metazoa; Chordata; Actinopteri; Cypriniformes; Cyprinidae
Gene: U1
Rfam family: U1 spliceosomal RNA
About the family: U1 is a small nuclear RNA (snRNA) component of the spliceosome (involved in pre-mRNA splicing). Its 5' end forms complementary base pairs with the 5' splice junction, thus defining the 5' donor site of an intron.
Source: Ensembl
AGAAUGGCAGGGGAGACACCAUGAUCAAGAAGCCGGUUCACCCAGGGCGAGGCUCGUCCAUUGCACUCCGGCUGUGCUGACCCCUGCAAAUUCCCCAAAUGUUGGAAUCUCGACUGCAUAAUUUAUGGUAGUGGGGGACUGCGUUCGCGCUCUCCCCUG